This 253-nucleotide ribosomal RNA is filed under the name uncultured bacterium. Its description in RNAcentral is "partial 16S ribosomal RNA". It matches the Rfam family "Bacterial small subunit ribosomal RNA", at positions 524 to 776 of the family's 1533-position model. The record is from RNAcentral.
UACGUAGGGUGCGAGCGUUGUCCGGAAUUAUUGGGCGUAAAGGGCUCGUAGGCGGUUUGUCGCGUCGGGAGUGAAAUCCACUGGCUUAACUGGUGGCUUGCUUUCGAUACGGGCAGACUGGAGGUAUGCAGGGGAGAACGGAAUUCCUGGUGUAGCGGUGAAAUGCGCAGAUAUCAGGAGGAACACCGGUGGCGAAGGCGGCGACCUGGGUAGAUACUGACGCUGAGGCGCGAAAGCGUGGGGGGCAAACAGG